This 233-nucleotide ribosomal RNA is filed under the name uncultured Actinomycetales bacterium. RNAcentral's name for it is "partial 16S ribosomal RNA". It matches the Rfam family "Bacterial small subunit ribosomal RNA", at positions 97 to 334 of the family's 1533-position model. The record is from RNAcentral. Lineage: Bacteria; Bacillati; Actinomycetota; Actinomycetes; Actinomycetales.
GGCGAACGGGUGAGUAACACGUGGGUGAUCUGCCUUGCACUCUGGGAUAAGCUUGGGAAACUGGGUCUAAUACCGGAUAGGACGAUGGUUUGGAUGCCAUUGUGGAAAGUUUUUCGGUGUGGGAUGAGCUCGCGGCCUAUCAGUUUGUUGGUGAGGUAGUGGCUCACCAAGGCGAUGACGGGUAGCCGGCCUGAGAGGGCGACCGGCCACACUGGGACUGAGACACGGCCCAG